Molecule: ribosomal RNA, 260 nt
Organism: Haliaeetus albicilla (white-tailed eagle)
Lineage: Eukaryota; Metazoa; Chordata; Aves; Accipitriformes; Accipitridae
Rfam family: Eukaryotic large subunit ribosomal RNA
Source: Rfam
AGUUUCCCUCAGGAUAGCUGGCACUCGGCAAUGGGCAGUUUUACCCGGUAAAGCGAAUGAUUAGAGGUCUUGGGGCCGAAACGAUCUCAACCUAUUCUCAAACUUUCAAUGGGUAAGGGGGCCGGCUCGCUGGCGUGGAGCCGUGCCGUGGAAUGCGAGUGCUCAGUGGGCCACUUUUGGUAAGCAGAACUGGCGCUGCGGGAUGAACCGAACGCCGGGUUAAGGCGCCCGAUGCCGACGCUCAUCAGAGCCCAGAAAAG